Molecule: ribosomal RNA, 466 nt
Filed under: uncultured bacterium
Lineage: Bacteria
Description: partial 16S ribosomal RNA
Rfam family: Bacterial small subunit ribosomal RNA
Source: RNAcentral
CUACGGGGGGCACCAGUGGGGAAUAUUGGACAAUGGGGGAAACCCUGAUCCAGCAAUGCCGCGUGUGUGAAGAAGGCCUGCGGGUUGUAAAGCACUUUCGGUUGGGAGGACUGCUUCUAGCACUAAUAUUGUUGGAAGUUGACGUUACCUUCAGAAGAAGCACCGGCUAACUCCGUGCCAGCAGCCGCGGUAAUAGCGGAGGGUGCAAGCGUUAAUCGGAAUUACUGGGCGUAAAGCGCGCGUAGGCGGCUAGAUCAGUCGGGUGUGAAAGCCCCGGGCUUAACCUGGGAACUGCCUCCGAUACUGUCUAGCUUGAGUACAGGAGAGGAGAGUGGAAUUCCACAUGUAGCGGUGAAAUGCGUAGAUAUGUGGAGGAACACCAAUGGCGAAGGCAGCUCUCUGGCCUGAUACUGACGCUGAGGUGCGAAAGCGUGGGGAGCAAACAGGAUUAGAUACCCCUGUAGUC